This 451-nucleotide ribosomal RNA is filed under the name uncultured bacterium. Its description in RNAcentral is "bacterial SSU rRNA". It matches the Rfam family "Bacterial small subunit ribosomal RNA", at positions 328 to 794 of the family's 1533-position model. The record is from RNAcentral.
UGGCCAGACUCCUACGGGAGGCAGCAGUGGGGGAUAUUGCACAAUGGGGGAAACCCUGAUGCAGCGACGCCGCGUAGGCGAAGAAGUAUUUCGGUAUGUAAAGCCCUAUCAGCAGGGAAGAAGAAAUGACGGUACCUGAGUAAGAAGCAUCGGCUAACUCCGUGCCAGCAGCCGCGGUAAUACGUAGGGGGCAAGCGUUAUCCGGAUUCACUGGGCGUAAAGGGAGCGCAGGCGGCACGGCAAGUCUGAUGUGAAAACCCAGGGCUCAACCCUGGGACUGCAUUGGAAACUGCCGGGCUGGAGUGUCGGAGGGGUAAGCGGAAUUCCUAGUGUAGCGGUGAAAUGCGUAGAUAUUAGGAGGAACACCAGUGGCGAAGGCGGCUUACUGGACGACUACUGACGCUGAGGCUCGAAAGCGUGGGGAGCAAACAGGAUUAGAUACCCGCGUAGA